RNAcentral lists this long non-coding RNA (35952 nucleotides) under Solanum tuberosum (potato). RNAcentral describes it as "long non-coding RNA (STUB_LNC001844)". Lineage: Eukaryota; Viridiplantae; Streptophyta; Magnoliopsida; Solanales; Solanaceae. The record is from RNAcentral.
CCACUUCCAAGUAGGAAUAAGUAUCCUCUGAGAUAAACCUCCAAGCCGCUGGUGCUCACACUUGACCUAUUGGAAAAUCAAACACCUAGAAACAAAGUCUGUAAUAUCCUUCUUCAUGCCACACCAUUAAUAAUGUUGGCUCAAAUCAUGAUAAAUCUUCACUGCUCCUAGAUGAAUAGAAUAUCAAAAACAAUAGGCCUCCUCAAGAAUCAAUCUAGGCAACUCGCUCGUCUUGGGCACACAAAUCCUGCCUUCAAUCCUCAAAACACCAUCCGGAUCAAGGACAGCCUCAUAGGCUUCCCCUCUCAACAUUUUUUUCUCGAAUGAGAGACAAUUUCACAUUAUCAAACCAAUGCUCUCCAAUCAUCUCAAUUAAGGAAGAACGGGCUUCAAUCAAACCAUUCGUCUCCUAAGAAAUAUGUAAUCAAACAAGAUUGUUGGCUAACCUCUGAACAUCUCUAGCCAAUGAUCUCUCCUCAAUACUGAUAGACGCAAGACUUCCCAUACUAAAAGUCCUCUUACUAAAAUCAUCAACCACUACAUUGGCUAUCCAAGAUGAUAAAAGAUAGUGAUAUCGUAGUCCUUCAGUAGCUCCAACCAUUUAUGCUGCCUUAAGUUUAGAUCCCUCUAAUUGAAGAUAUAUUGAACACUUAGAUGGUCAGUGAAGACCUCACAAUGAACCCCAUAAAGAUAAUGUUGUCAUAACUUAAGCAUAAAUACCACAGCUGUUAAUUCAAGAUCAUAGGUAUGGUAGUUGUUCUCAUUGGUCUUCAACUAUCUAUAAUAUACUAAAGGCUCAUGUGAUCAGUAUAGAUCUUUAAACUAACAACGUACCGAUAGUGCCUUCAGCUCUUAAGUGCAAAAUGUGUUGCCGCCAACUCCAAGUCACAAGUGGGGUAGUUGCGCUCAUCUAGCCUAAGCUGCCUCAAUGCAUAAGCAAUAACCUAUCCCCGCUGCAUCAAUAUACAACCCAAACCAAUGUCGGAUGCAUCACAAUAAACUAAGAAGCCCUCGCCCUCAACUGGGUUAGAGGUGCUGCAAUGGUGGAGAAUCCCUCCACAAACCGCAUUUAGUAGCCUACCAAAUCGACCAAGUUCCAAACAUCAACCACUGAAGUGGGCCUAGCCUAACAACGAUUAGCCUUAAUCUUCAUUUGAUCUACCAUGAUGCUAUGCUUGGAGACCACGUUCCCCAAGAAUGCUACAGAUUCUAACCAAAACUCAAACUUUGAGAACUUGGCAUAAAGACGUUGAUCUCUGAAAGUCUUGAGCACAAUCCUCAGAUCCUGCUCAUGAUCACUCCUUCUCCGUGAGUAUACAAGAAUGUCAUCUAUGAACACAAUUAAGAAUAAAUCAAGAUACGAUCUGAACACCCACGAUCAAGUUUAUGAUGGCGGCAGGGGCAUUAGUCAACCCAAAAGACAUUACUAGGAACUCAUAGUGGCCAUAUUUAAUCCUAAAUGCGGUCAAAGGGAUGUCCACUACCUUAAUCCUUAGCUGAUGAUAACCAGACCUCAAAUCAAUUUUUGAAUACACUGUGGCACCCUGAAGCUGGUCAAAUAGAUAAUCAAUCCUAGGCAUGGGGUAACGGUUCUUCACUGUCACCUUAUUCAACUGCCUAUAAUCAAUACACAUGCACAUCAUGCCAUCCUUCAUCUUUACAAAUAGAGCAGAAGUGCCCCAAGGAGACACACUAGGCCUGAUGAAUCCCUUACCCAAUAGAUCUUAAAUUCGAACACUAAGCUCGUUGAGCUCUGUGGGAGCCAUCCAAUAUGGUGGAAGAGAAAUAGGUCGAGUAAUCAGCUCAAGCUCGAUAACAAAGUCAAUAUCAUGUUCUGGGGGUAGGUCAGUAGGUUAGUAGGAAACACAUCUAUAAAACCACGAACGACUGGAAUGGACUCAUUUGAAGGGACCUCCCGACUCACAUCAUGUACAUAGGCCAAAUAAGACAAACACCCGCUAGCCACUAGCCUCUGAGCCUGAACAAAAGAGAUAACUCCAACUGGUGUGCCACUAAUGGAGCCCAUCCACACCACCGGUGGAAUAACAGGCAUGGCUAAGGUAACAGUCUUAGAGAAACAAUCUAAAACUGUGCAAUAGAGGGAUAGUCGGUCCAUGCCAAGAAUCACAUCAAAAUCAAGCAUAUCUAACAAUAUAAGGUCAGUCCAGGUGUCACGCCCCAGGAUAGUAAGUAAGAAAGAUUAAAACACAUCAUCCACUACUAAAGACUCACCCACGAGGGUCAACACACGCAAUGGCACUGCCAUAACCUUUCAACUUAUACCCAUACGAGAAGCAUAAUACACAGACACAUAGAAAUAGGUAGAGCCUAGAUCAAAUAAAGUUGAGGCGGGCUUAUGGAAUAAAAGAAUUGUACAUGUGAUCACAUCGUUUGAUGCCUCAGCCUCCAUCCUCGCUGAAGCUGUAUAGAAAUGGACAUGUCUGCCUCUGCCCAGUCCAUCAGACCUACCACCUGACCUGCCUCCCUGGGGACCACCCCGAAUACCCUAUUGUCCACUGCAAUGGUUCUGACCCUGACCUCGACCUCUAGCUUGAGGUGCGGCAGAUGGAGCUGGUAGAACUGAUUGUGCGACUGGAGCAAUUCGUCUACGCAAAGGGCAAUCUCUGGCCUAGUGAACUAACACCCAUAGUCAAAACAACUUGAAGAUGAUGUGCUCCCUCAAGAACGACCACCAUAGCCUGAAGUACUAGUCUGGUACCCAUGAUUCUGAUUAUAUUCAACCUCACUACAGCUAUAUCGGUCACCCUCUAAACUCUGCAAUGAGGCCUGAAUAGGCCGACUAGGCUGACCCUGCUGAAACUACGAUCGAGCCCUAUCAUGUGAAUCUCUGGGCUUGGAAUGGGGCCCAUUAUAGCUACUAUCAUAUCUAGUUCUCUUGUCGCUGCCUCUUUAUUCCUCACAACAGAGCUUCUCAAUAGUGCAGGCAUGAUAUAAAAAACAUCCUAAAAGGAGAGCCCAACUAAGAUCAUAGACUGAGCCUCAAUCCGCAUCUACAGUCUCAACCUAUGAACAAGGCACUGAACCCUCUCAUCCUCAGUAGGUAGAAUCAUUGUAUCAUGGCGAAAGAGCUCAUAAUAUAUCACCUCAUACUCAGACAUUGUCAUAGAACCCUGCUCCAAUCAGGAAAACAGAUCAUUGAGGUAAUCUCUGACGCUGCGAGGAUGGACCUGUCCAAGAAGGCCUAAAAAAACUCAAUCCAUGUGAUCGGAGGAGACCCAACUAGCCUAGUCUUAAUUAAUGUACAAUACCACUGUCUAGAUAGCCCAUCAAGUUGAUACGUAGUGAAGUUGGUUCCUCUAGACCCCACAAGACCCAAGGUAUGCAGUCGUUCACGGAAAGUAGUUAGAAACUUUUGGGAAUCCUCACCCACAGCCUCAGAAAACCUCGGAUGUGAAAGCAUCAAGAACACUCCAAGCAUCUUCUGCUCCUCUAACGGCAUAGCACUAGCUGCAAUCAUAGGCUAGGCAACCCAGAUGGUACCUAGGCCCUGGGUGCCUUUACAGAUAGGCUAAUCCUUCUAAUUUGGUGCUGGUGCAGGUGUCGAUUCUGGUGCAAGUAUAGGUGUCAGUACUACCGCAAGUUUAGGUGUCGGUACUGGCACAGGUGCAGGUGCUAGUAUUGCAGCUGGGGCUUGCUUCAUUCCCCCAAGAGCUGUCAAAAGUUGCGCAAUAGCUAGCUGAAGAUCUGCUGACACAGCCAGUCCGGGUGGUGGCGGAGCUGGUCCAGGCCCCACCGGCUGCUCUAGAACAUGGGCUGCUGGAGGAUCCGAUAUUGACUCAGGACCUACUCUCUAUUUGGGGGUGGUGUUGCACCCCUACCAAGGAAGGGAGGUCAACCCCUAACCCUAGCUGCCACGUAUGAGUCAUUCUGCGAAAAAGUGAAACAAGUGAGAUUCCAAAAAACCAAUAACACACACAUUGCACAAAAGUGAUACAAAAAGAAGGGGGUUCCUAAAAACACCUUGUUGCCUCCCAAAGAUAGGACACAGACGUCUCCACACCAAUUCGUAGGAUUCUAGUAGAUAUUAGCUCUGUACAAGUAAGACUGGUGAACCUGGAGCUCUGAUACUAAUUUGUCACGACCCAACUUCUCGAGUCAUGAUGGGACCUACUAAAGCCCACCAGUAGGUAAGUCGACUCAUACCCUGAACAAGAAGUAGUGAGUACAAGGGCAUGACUAAACAGAAAAUAAUUUUAAUUAGUAAGCAAAUACAAAAAUGGGAAGUGAACCGAAAACUCUAUUCAAAGGAAUCCUCCCAAAACCUGAAAGUCAUUAGUACAGAGCUGCCUAACAAGAUAAAUACAAGUCCCAAAAUUAGACCACAACAAGUUGUUUCAAAGGCAAAAGAAAAGUUAACAUAAGUACAGAAGCAGACAGGUUGGUCCUGGACGUCAAGUGCUCACUCUUAUCUACAAGCUACAAAAGAUGGUACGAACAAUUACCACCACUAGUAGUUGGUACUAGGUCCUGCUUCACGAAAUGAUGCAGAUUGUAGCAUAAGUACAAAAAAUAAAUGUACUCAGUAGGCAUCAUAGGCCGAUCGAGCAAGAAAGGUUAAAACAAUCUAAAAAGAUAGAAUUUAGACAAAAAUAGAGGUCAAAGCGGAUAUGAAAAGAAGCACAUGAGCGUACCGAAAGUAAUUCUAAGUAUAGCUAAACUAAACUUAACAUGACCCAUAAGCUCAGAAGGUAAACUCAUGCACAAGUUUAAAUAAACCCGAAUUGGCCCCCAUUAGACUAAGUACAUAGAAUAGCUAAGUCUACAGAAAAAGAAUAAUCUAGAUCCGAAUCCAAGAACAUCAGUCGAGCUCCCAGCCCAAGUAACCAAGAUCCAGUCAACUCCCAGCCCAGCUAGCAAGAGUGACAAUCAACCUAGCCAGUUAACUUCCAGCCCAGCUAACAAGAGUGAUAAGAAACCUAGGUUGUCUAGCCAAACAAUCCACUUCUAGGGGCGUUAACCGCCCUACUAGCAAGAGUACCUUGGAGGCAUGUCAACUCCGUCGAGGAUAUCAAAUAUCUAGGCUACCCAUCCAUCUCACUCCUAGUGGCGGCAACCGCUCACCUAGCAAGACUGUCCGAAGGCGUAUCAACUCUAAAUAGGAUCUCAAGUAGGCUCAAAGCCACCAUGGAUCGACGUCCACCCUCAAUGAUAUCAUAAAAGGCUCCAAGACGGUAGCACUGCAAUCCCGAGAAACCAGAGAAUCUCCAAUAAUGCAUCAGAGCAAUAGAAAUAGGGAGAGGAGAUAGAAAGGGCCAACAAGCUACAUAAUCACCUAAACUAAGGCUCAUUCAAUCAAACCCAAGUCUUCUAUUCAAAUUUACAAAGACCUAGUCCAUCUGAAAUGACGUUAGAGACAUAUCAUAGUCACAAGGUGCAUAGUUCUAAGGUAACACUAGUCUAUCCUAGAAUAAGGCCAAAACAUGCUCCAAAAACAAGUAAUCAACCAAGUAAAUCACAUAGCAUGCUACAACACACAUACAAUCCUCUUUCAGUAUGGUACUACCCUCGAAACAGUGGUAAUCAACCCUAAAUCAUGGUUUCUAAGAAUAAAAGCAGAAAUAACUAGGUACCCACCCCCUAUUCAUACUAUUCAUCACAAAUUUACACAUUCUUGCUCAGUUUAAUUAGAAAGGAAGUCGUAGCCUACCUGUAUACUGAUUACGCUUUCUCCAAAUCACAAGGUCAGAGCUUUUCCCUUCUGAACGAUGUAACAUGAUCAAAAAUAGGAUCUCAACGUCAAUACGAUCGUUUAGACACUGAAAUCACCCAAAAUAGAGACAAACCAAUUUUUAGAGUCAAAUGAGAAUCGUGGGACCCGCACCAGAAUUUCUGAAAUUGACUCUGUCAAAAGGUCCUAAGCUAUAUCUUGAACUUGUGUCCCAAAAUAGGACAUAAUUCAUGCCCAAAACAACAGAAACAACAAAACACCACAAAAACAAAAAUAAAAGGAAAAGGGGCAGCAACUAUUACACCAAAAUUACCUCGAACGAAAUGUCACCGACACAAUCCAAUCACUCCACCAUGUAGCCCCGACAAUUAAGAUCAUGUGGGACUUCGAAUCACCAAAAUUCAAGCUCGAAUGAGGUAGAAAUCGCCUUGUAUUGAGGGUGAAAGUUGAAGUUUCUGGGUAUAAAUACCUGAAACUGGUCGCUAAAAGGCUGAUAUUUGUUCGCUAAAAGUUUGCACCAUAUAUCAAUUGAUUUGCUCAAACUCUAAAUUCUCCGAUGGGAUGUCCGGGAUUUGUUUAAAACAUCGUGCGCACAAACAAAAUAUGCUACCCUAUCGAAUUCAGCAUUCCUGACUCAACGGAACAAUCAAAACUUCCAUUCGAGGUUAUUUUUGAUAAAAAUUGGGUCCCACACCCAAUUUCCAUUUUAAGCUAAAAACCACAAGAAGACUGAAAAUGAGAUUGUAAGCCUAAGGAACCACAAGAAAGGUUGUUCUAGACCAAGCUCGACAUUUCGGAUCUAACCGCGCUAACGGAAUUCUCAUUCGAGCAUGUUUACCAAGAAUGUUGACCAAAGUCAACCCUUAGCUUAAGCUUCAAAGUUAAAAUGCCUAACGGCACAAACCAACUAUGCCCCUAGCCUAAAAUGGCCCUUUUGAGGCUGAUGAAACUGUUAGAAUUGCAUUUUGAGGCCGUCUUCCUGAACUUCUGAUAAAAAUGACCGUUCAAGAUUCAAAAGCUCUCAAAACACUAAAACUCGCAUAAAAACUAGACGAACGACCAAGUGACCGAACUGUCAGUCCCAUCAAGUCAUACAUGACUUGGAGUCGUUACAAGAAAGAUCUAAAUGAUGAACAUGAGGCAUAAACAUAAAAAUGACCUGGAGGUCGUUACACUGAAUUUUUUGGAGAUUCGAAUUAAGAAUGAAAAUUGAUUUUUGGAGAAUUUUUUAUUUAAAAAAAAAGAAAAAGUAGAGAGAUGCGGGAAGGAUGAGAGAGAGAGGGGGGUUGAGGGGGAGUGAAAUUUGACUUCAUUUUAGGAGGUUAAGUAUAAACAUGAGAUUUACUGUUAAAAAAAACAUACAGUGGUUCAUUGUAAUUCUUAAAACUACAAUUGUAUUCCAUAAAUAAGUAGCACAUGUAUGCUUUGUUGUGUAAUUUUUUCAUAUAAAAAUUGUGCCAAAAUUUUAGAGAUAUAUAUAUCAAUGUAUAUCUCUUAUAAUAUUGUAGAUAUAUCCCAUCUGAUUCUUUCUUUUUCCUUUUAGGCAAUUAAAUUAUCCCUAUUUGAAUCUUCAAAACUUUAGACCAAGUCUUUAAUUUGCUUCUAAAUCCGAUAAAUGAUAAAGGAUAAAGCUAGGAAAAGCAUAAUACAGGGCCUACUUUGUCUUUCACUUUGAACUUCUUUCAAGAGAGUACCAUCCUUAUUUUGAUAACUUGCCAGCCUUAAUUCUCCUUUCUAAAAUGGAUUUAAGUUUAAUAUGUAACUUAAAGUAUAUAUGAGUUUAAGUUCUAUGUAUUAGAGAUGUAAAAGAGAAAUUUACUUCUUAUAAUAAAUUACUAUAAAAUAUGAUAAGCAUUAAUUGACAAUUCAGUACAAAGUUAAGUAACUUGCUAUUUCAUUCACCAAAUUUUAAAUAUUUAUAUUGUUGAUAUAUAUCUUAAAUACUAAAGAAAUUGCUUCUUGCCAACAUCAAAUGAAUUAGAGUUCAUCUCAGUUUUUUAUACUAUCAGUAUAAUUUAACUGAUUAUAGCAUGUUAUUCUAAAUUAUAAUUACAAGUAUUUUUGCACCAAACUUAGUUCUUUCAAGAUUUGGAUUGCCAUGCUAGAAAAUAGAGAAUCUCUCUUCUUGAUUUUAGAACAAAGUUUGAAUGGACAAAAGGCCAAAAAAGUUGUCACAAAAACAAAGAAUCUUAUGAAAAGGACUAACACAUAGAGGCAAUCCCUACCUUUUCCCUUUGCAUUUUUAACACUUUUUAAUGGUGGAUUUGCUUUUGUUUCAGAACACAUGCCAUUUCAUAAGCAAAACAACCAAUAAUUAGAGAAUAAAACUACCUUUGUUUCACAAGCCAAAGCUUCUACUAUACUCCCUGAAAAAUUAUCCUUUUUUUCUUCUAAAUUUAAAAAUAAUUUAACUUAACUAUCUAUUUUACACUUAAUGACAAUUUAUUGUAGUCACACACAAAUAUAAUGUUAUAACAUAUUUAAGAUUCUAAAUUUAAAAAAAAAUUAGACAUUAAAUGUAAUUACUAUGACAGAUUAAAUUAUAAAUUUCAAAGUACUAUGUUUUGUGUAAGCUUAUUUGUAAUUAAAUAAGUUCACUAAAAUUAUAUUAAUUCAUGUUUACUAGGACAUAAAUCAAUGCAUAAAAAAGCUUAUAGUUUGUUCUUCUUUUUAAUUUCCUCCACACUAUGCAAAAGUUAUGUCUGUCCAUCUUUCCCACCAAAACAUUAGAUACAUAUUAACAGCAAAAGUAAUUUUGAUCGAAACCUAUACAUAAAUCUACAAUAUAUGAUAUGACAUAUAUAAAAAGAAAUAACACAUAAAUUUUGAAUUUUGAAUUUAUUCGUAAUCAUAUACUAACACCAUAUAAUAUUUUUGUCCCUUGGUUUUUUUUUUUUGGGGUGGGGGUGGGGGGAGAUAUUUAUUUGGGAUUCUCUACCCAAUAUAAUGACUGAUCUCUUCUUCUUUUUUUUUAUAAGAAUUUCCUUGUGUUAGACAAAUUCAUUAUUAAUAUCUUUCCAUUCCACCUCCAAAGAUUCUAAACUUUUGCAGUAAAAAUAACUAACAAAUUAAAUUAAGCUGGGGUUUAAUCUGAAAUUUCAUCUCUCACAAUAUAUAUUGACAAUCCCAUUUUCAAUAAAUUACAUAUACAAGAUAGGAAAUUUAAUUUUAUUUAUUUAUUUAUUCAUGGCUUGCCAAAUUCUCCUUUUGAAACUUGACCAUGUGGUUGAUGAGAAUUUCCCGCUCUUCUGUUAUAGAGAAACAUAAAAAUAAGUUAAUUAGACUACAGUGAACGAAGUAAUUAAUUGAAAUAUAUAAUUAAGUUAAUUAAAAUAUAUACUAUUUGAUUUGAAAAUUUUAAAUGAAAUGAACACACAAUUAAAAGAGAGUUUGCGUACAAGUCUCACUACCACCAGUACAAUAUCAUUUUUUUUUAAAAUCAUUGUGUGCUUAAUCCAUUAAGAAAAAAUCAGGCUCUCAUAUAAAAGUACAUCUUGAAAAUAAAAUGUAGUAGAUAAAAAUAUAAUAUUAUUUGAUUUUUUUAAUUAUUUAAAUUUUUAAAUGAGAUAGUUAUCACCAUUAAAUAAAUGCACAUAGAAAGUGGACCUUUUCUUUUCUUUUAAUAUUAGAAUAUUUAAUAUAAAAAAAUAAAUUCAAGGAAUACAUGUAACUAGGAGAAGGAAAAGAAAGAAGAAAGAAUCAAAGCUAGUACAAAGGAAUAAGAGAGAAAAGUUAUACCUUGAAAUAUAAAAUUGUUUAAUUAAAUUGGCUCACGUCCAUUUUAAUUUGUUGAGACAAUCAUUAGGUGUUAAAGAGUAUUUUGUUGACAUAAUUACCUUCAUGAAUAUAGUCAUUUAAGAAAAUGAUAAGAAUAAUUUAGUUAAAUAUAAUUUAUAAUUGAUAGAAUUAAAUAUUUUUCUCAAUGAAUAAGCCAAAACAUUAAAUUAUGGAAUAGAGAAUAAUCGGGAGGAACGUAACAAAACAUGAUCACUACUAGAAUAAGCUGAUUUUCCACAGACGCCCACGUGAGAAUGACAACAGUAGCAUGAUGAAAGUUCAAUAAUAAUAAUUUUCGAUGGGAAUAUUUUUCACCAAUUUCAUCGGAUACACGUGUUUCUAGAAGUGAAAAAUUACAACAACAAAAAAAAAAUUAAAUUAAAUUAAAGGCAUAUAUAAUUAAAACAUUGUUAUACCUGUUAUGGAUAGGGUCAGGGCCAUUAGGAACUCUUCUUUUAAUACUCAUGAAGUUGAGUUUCAUCUUUGAAUGAAUAAUAUUUGGCCUUUGCUUCUUCAACAUCUUUGUUCCUCUAUUCUCCAAGACACUAACCAACAAUAACCAAACAACUCCUAACAAUACAAUUGAGCCCCAUAACCUCUUGUACAUCCUAAUUCUAUCACUACUACUAUCCAUAUGUAUAUAUUUAAAAUUUCUAUUAGGGUAAGAAGAAGAAGAAAAAGAAAACACAAAAGUAUAGAGUUUUUACUAUGGAUUUAUUUUUAUUUUAUUUUACGAGAAGACAUAGAAAGUGAGAAAUUUGAAGGAAUUAGGCAAAAGUAGAGAGUAUUAGAUUUACCACAUGGGCUAUGGGUGAUUGGUUUUUCUUUAUAGGUUGGAGUGAAGUGAUUCUCCUACUUUAAUUUCUUGAAGCUAGAGAGAGAUGAGGUGGUGGCAUGGAGGGAACACGUUCACAAAUCAAAGAUUUGAAGUUCAUGAAUUUUUUAUAUUUCCCAGACAAACCCGAGCUUACAAUUAAAAUUAUUUAAUUCUGAUAUAUCCCUAUCAUAUGUUGUACAUCAAAUAUUUAUGUUGUCUUACGUCUAUACUAGUACUAACUGAUAACAUAGAGGUAACACCGUAAAGGGUAAAUUCUGAAUUCAAUUGCUUUAAUUUGGCUCGUACUAUUUCUACAUGUUACAAGAAAAAUAUUAGUAAUGAGUAUGAAUAAUUGACCUCAAUUUCAGUAAAUCAAAUGAAUUGUGAUAGAAUUUUAAAUUCGGACUAAUCCAACUAUGUAUUGGUACAUAGGAUAAUCUUUCUUUUCUUUUCUUUGCUUUAAUUGGUUUUGUGUAUUUUCAUGCACUAUACGACAUGACCACCAGCAGCAUGCCGCCGCUACAACUUUUUACGUACGUAAAAUGACAAGUACUUAAUUAUGCCACAAACUAUAUAUUACAAGCAUCAAAAUUCAUUGUAAAUAACUAUAGUUCUUUCUUAUAGGAGGGGAAAAGUGGUAUUUAUUAAGUUUCUUUCUUUGUGGGGUGGGGAUAAAAGCAAUGAAAAAUUCAAAGUUUUCGUUAAAGAGAUUCUAAAUAUAACUAGGCAUAUGAGAAGUUAAAAAAUUUCAAUAUCUAGUAUAUAUAGAUAAAACACAAUUUAUAACUAUUGUACUUAUUUAGAAACUACCCAAAAAGAAUAAAUAUAACCCUCAACUAUUGUAAAUUUUUUAUAUUUUUUAGGACAUUGAUAUCCUUAUCGUCUAACUUUUUUAAUGUAUAUACCCUUUGAAUUAACGAACGGACACGUGCCUCAAUCUUAAAAGUCUAUUCAAAAUUUAUUUAAUUUUAAUCCAAAAUUAAAAGACCCACCCCCAAAUUAUAACUCAAAAUAAACCCCAUUUUCUUUUCUUCACUUUUCCACUAAUCAAUAGCAACCAAACCAGACGCACGUUGGAACUUCACCACACCACCACGACUCUAUCUUCUCCGGCGAAGCUCCUCCAAUAAAAUCACCUCCAACUGCUACUAAACUCGGCCUCCCUCGCUUCGGCGAAAUCACUGAGGCAGCACCAUUCUAUCACCGCAAAACAUGACCAACAUGCAUUCACUUCUCUUUCACCGUUGCUCCAGCAGCUCCGGCGAACAGAACCAGCAAGCUCUAAUUUAUAAUCGCAAAAUUUAUAACCUCUUUUUUUUCAUAGUGAGAUUUUGAAUUGAUAAACAUCUAGAUGUUGUGUAAUUUAUUACAACUAAACAUAGAUUUCUGGCACUUAUGAUUUCUUAAUCAAAAAUUCAAAACCUUUCAUUAAUAUGUCGCGAGUUCAAAAGAAAUCAAUUAAUCGAAUUAUCCUUUCUCCCAUAUUUUCUCCUCUCCUUGAAAUCAAACAUACUGCUAUGACUCACUUUUGUGCUACUUUCUUUAGGACUACAAAUCAGACAGCAGGGGUAAAUUGUCAAAACCUGACCUCAAUUCAACAAUUAUCAAACAGAAAUUCAAUAAAACAGUAGAAGUUUUUGGGACAAUUUUCUAUUAAUCAACUGAACUGAAGGAAUUACAACUUAAAACAAUGGAAAUGAAUCUAAAGUUGGAAGCUUCCAUAGAUGAGUCCUUAAUCUGCAGAAGAAGAAUGAGUGGGAUUAGGAAGGAAGAAGAAGAAAGGAGAGAUCUGAGAGAAGAGAGGAAAAGUGUGAAAGAUACCAAUUAUCCGUUAAGCCCCUCUUUCCUCUGCAGAGUUGGUUAAAUCAACGUGACUUGUGCUGGUUUGGCACUGAUGAUGUGGUUGUAUCUCCACCCUCUAAUCUCAUUAAUCUAUAUCUAAUUUGGGCCGUUGCUUCUACCCGGUAGUUAUAACUACUUAUUGGAAGCCAAGGUCAUGACAAUUCCCUCCCCUGCAAAGCAUCCUUGUCAUCAAGGAUUAAUAACAAAAUCAGGAAACUUGGCCUUGAUGAAAUGAUAAUCUUCCCAUGUAGCAUCUUCAGGAGGUAGAUUUGACCAUUGUAUGAGCAAUUUCACAUUGGCUCGAUUGUUCAGUUUCACUAUCUGCCGCUGAAGAACAACCACUGGUCAAACCAAAAACUGACCAUUGAUGAGUCCACAAAUUGGACUCAUUUAAGGCUAUGUUUUGAUAGAAUUAGUGUCUUCAAACGCAUAUUUUGUCUCAAUAUCUGAUGAAAACCCUUAAGUUUAAGGUAUUUGGAGUUUGAGGGAAAGCAUGGACACUACUUAGCAAAAAGGAACAAAACCAGCUGAAAGAACGAAGAAAUGAAGAUCUGAGAAUCGCCGAACCCGUUCGGCGAUUCGCCAAAAGGUCUUAUCCUCGCCUUUUGUUCCAGUGUGCUGAGCCUUGAAGGAAAGGAUCAAAUCAGCGAUGAAAAGGAGCAGUCCAUGUAUCGCCAAGCAGUUCUGUGAAGCUGUACUAUGUCGCCCAAUGAUCCAAAACACGACAAUGUUGAAGGCUAACACAAGACGGCGAUGAACUAGACCAAAGGGCGGAUCGCCGAGUUGAUCGACGAUCCCGACUGACUUCGCCGAGUGAUCCUUCACAGCACAUUUUCUGAAAACUAUAAAUACUAGUUGAAGUUUUGUGGCUUAGUACCAGAGUAGAAAUUAUUAUUAAGUUUUAGUUGUAUUAAGUUUGGAAUACAAUUUUGAGAGACAAUAUUCUCUCUAAGCUUGGAAAAGGUUUUGAAGAACUUGACGAUUCAAAGGGUUUCAACUCUAAGAUUUUGGACUCUGGUCAUGUGGAUUCUUCACUUUUGACUUAUUUUAAGACUUAAUCUUGCAUACCCAUUGAUGGAAACUGAGAUUGGUAUACAUUUUUACCUCUUUUACACGUGUAGCUAAAACCCCAAUUCUUGGGGUGUGAUUUUAUGAUUAUGGGUUAGAUUAAUUGUUGGGUCUUACUUUCUAAGAGUUUAUUUGUUUUUUAGAUGUGAUUUUGUUUAGUAGUUGUGUUGGAACUUAAUGAAAUUGUAGUUGCAAAUACGAUUUCACCUUUGUCUUUUCGGCUUGCGAGAGAGAGAAGUCGUAAAACUAAGACUACUAAAUUGAUGGCCUAUGGGAGUGGGUCGACAUAAGGUUCAACUCGAGAGAGUGAAGCCUAGACAUUCUCCCAAACACUCAGCUCGAGAGAGUGAGUGGGCUAAGGCGGAGGUUGUUCUUCAUCCGGCAAGUGGGUGUCCUAGAGGAACCCAUUUGAUUUGGGGUAAGUUGCUCGAGAGAGAAUUUACCCCCACUAUAGUCUAUCCUAGUCACAAAUAUUCAACGGAUUUACCGUCAAAAGCAUGUACCCAAUAGUCUAGUCUAACCCGUAAUCCUAUCACAUCCCAAGAAUCUCGUCUCCGCAUUCGUAUCUCUUUUUAUUUUUGCUGAUUUUCCUUUUUACUUGCUUACAAACCCCCCAUUGAUAAUUGACACUCGUGUCAAACCCUUUAAUUUUACAUGUCUUCAUUUGAUAAAGUCUUUAGCUACUGUUAGUUUUAGAACUUUCGCGCUGAACCACUAAUUUUCAGGAACCACUCCCUUGGGACUCGACCCUAACCCUUGGUUGGGUUACUAUACUAUUGUACGAUUGUAGACACUUGCAUUGGAAAUUAUGUGUUGAUUACGCAAAUAUCAAAUUAGCGUCGCUGUCGGGGAAUGGUGUUACGUGAAAAAUUUUGGUUAAGAAGAAUUUUUCUAUAGAUAGUCGUAAUUUACUAACUUUAUUUUUAGUUUUGUUUUGCUUUGAAGUUGUUGAUGUAGACAGAUACCCUAAGCAUGGCUGAGAGAAAUGGUAGCAACUCGGCUGAGACGAGUCAAGAAGUCAAGAGGGACUUCAAGCUAACCGCAUUGGUAACUCAGCUGAACGAGUUGGCCACCAAAAUAUCAGAGGUGGAAAACCAGUACAAGAGCCAAGGGAGGUACAUAACCCCUCAGAAGCGGAAACAGUCUAGAGACAGGGAGAACACUCGUGUCGAGGACACACUCCAAAUCAUUCUCCAAAAGAUCACUGAACAAGAUCGAAUGUUGAAAGAGAUGAAGGAGAAUAUUUAAGUGUUGAAUCAAAUGAUUGGCUCCCAUUCUAGAUCAAUCCAGCUGAUCAGGACACUCAUGAGUUAUGCAGUGCCUCCUCUUCACUCAAAUGAACUAUUGGGGUUACCUAGUAACACUAGGACAAACCCGACCAAUGGAGAGUGAGUAAGGACCUGCGUCGUGCUACGACGUUAACUAAGGCGCUUCUUGGGAGGCAACCCAAGGUUUUAAAUGCUUUAGUUUGCUUUUAUAAAUAAUGGCAUGUUAGUGUGAUGCUUAUCGUGACCAACAACACUAACCAACGGUUUGAGUGUCUACGAUCGUCGAUAGUAUAGUAACCCAACUAAAGGUUGGGGUUGUGUCCCAAGGGAGUGGUUUUUGAGAAUUAACAGAAAAGUAAAAUUAAACUCUAACUAGUUGUAGAUAAAGAUAUUAAUGAAUAAAAACAUAGUAAAUUAAAGGGGGUGACACAAAAGUGUCAAAUAACGAUUUGGGGGUUUUGUCACAAUUAGUAAAAAUAGAAAAAAUUAACAAGAAAAUCAAGUAUAGAGAAAUGUUCUUGGGGUGUGACCGCAAUACAAGUUGAGAUAAGCAGUUGGGUACAUGCUUUUUAUGGAGAAGACCCAGUUCCAACUUGGGGAAGAUGAAAUCAUUCCUUCUUCAAGUCUCCCAAAAACCCUCUCCAAACUUGAGAGAAAAUAUCCAAAAAAGUACUAUUUUAUUCUGGAAAUUAAAAUAAAUGUUCAACUUUCUAAUAUUAAUAACAAGUUCAGUAUUUAUAGACUUCAGAAAAUAGCGCUGGCUGAUCUUUCGGCGAAGUUAGUCGAUAUCGCCAAAUGACUUCGGUGACUCGCCCUUCGUCUGUCUUAUCACUGUUUCGUGCUUGCCUUCAGCAUCUUCACGUUCUGGACCAUUGGGCGGUAUAGUACUACUUCGCGGAACUAUUCGACGAAGCGUCGACUGCUCCUUUCAUCGCCUUUUUGAUCCUUCUCCUUCAGGGCUUCGCGUACUGGAACAAAGGGCGGAGUAAAUCCCUUCGGCGAAUCGCCAAGUGUGCUUGGCGAUGCUCGAGCUUCAGCUUCUACGUUCUUUUUAGCCUUUUUGUUCCUUUUUGCACCUAAGUGUCCAUGCUUUCACUAAAACUUCAAAUACCUGAAACUUAAGAGUUUUCAUAGAUAUUUAGACAAAAUAAGCAUUCGAGGACACUAUUUUUGUCAAAAUAAAGCCCUCAAUGAGUCCCAUUUAUGGAAUCAUCAACACCCCCAACUUCAACUUUUGCUUGUCCUCAAGCAAACUCAAGUUCAGCCAUUCAAAAAGGGUGUCUCAAAUAGUGCUACACAAGACUCAAUCAUGAACAUACACAACAAGAUUCAAAUUACUUAUGCAAAGAUCAACUGUGUGCUCAAAGAUUCAAGUUGUGACACAUCAUUACCAAAGAUUCUCAUGCUCAUAAUACUUGCUACUUGUGCAAGUUCAAGCUCGACAAAAAGUAUCUAAAUGCCCUCACAUGAAGAAUGAUUACAUAUUCACACAGAGGUUAAUCAAUUCAAGAUCAGGAAUCAGAUGCAACGCUCACACUCAAAAAGAGGAACACAAUGCAUGUUCUCACCCAUAGGUUUCCCCUUAUGAGUCUUGUUGUGUGCCUUCAUGAUUGAGUCUUGUGUAGAACAGUUCGAGACACCCUUUUUGAACGGCUGAACUUGAAUUNNNNNNNNNNNNNNNNNNNNNNNNNNNNNNNNNNNNNNNNNNNNNNNNNNNNNNNNNNNNNNNNNNNNNNNNNNNNNNNNNNNNNNNNNNNNNNNNNNNNNNNNNNNNNNNNNNNNNNNNNNNNNNNNNNNNNNNNNNNNNNNNNNNNNNNNNNNNNNNNNNNNNNNNNNNNNNNNNNNNNNNNNNNNNNNNNNNNNNNNNNNNNNNNNNNNNNNNNNNNNNNNNNNNNNNNNNNNNNNNNNNNNNNNNNNNNNNNNNNNNNNNNNNNNNNNNNNNNNNNNNNNNNNNNNNNNNNNNNNNNNNNNNNNNNNNNNNNNNNNNNNNNNNNNNNNNNNNNNNNNNNNNNNNNNNNNNNNNNNNNNNNNNNNNNNNNNNNNNNNNNNNNNNNNNNNNNNNNNNNNNNNNNNNNNNNNNNNNNNNNNNNNNNNNNNNNNNNNNNNNNNNNNNNNNNNNNNNNNNNNNNNNNNNNNNNNNNNNNNNNNNNNNNNNNNNNNNNNNNNNNNNNNNNNNNNNNNNNNNNNNNNNNNNNNNNNNNNNNNNNNNNNNNNNNNNNNNNNNNNNNNNNNNNNNNNNNNNNNNNNNNNNNNNGCAUUCAUGAUUGAGUCUUGUGUAGCACUGUUCGAGAUUACCUUUUUGAACGGCUAAACUAGAGUUUGCUUGAAGACAAUCAAAACUUUAAGUUGGGGGUGUUGAUGAGUCUAGAAAUUGGACUCAUUUAGGGCUAUGUUUUGAUAGAAUUAUUGUCUUCAAAUGCAUAUUAUGUCUCAAUAUCUGAUGAAAACCCUUAAGUUACAGGCAUUUGGAGUUUGAGGGAAAGCAUGGACACUACUUAGCAAAAAGGAACAAAAGUAGCUGAAAGAACGAAGAAUGAACAUUUGAGAAUCGCCAAACCCAUUCGGCGAUUCGCCAAAAGGUCUUAUCCUCGCCUUUUGUUCCAAUGUGCUGAGCCUUGAAGGAAAAGAUCAAAUCGAUGGUGAAAAGGAGAAGUUUGCCUAUCGCCAAGCAGUUCCGUGAAGCUGUACUAUGUCGCCCAAUGAUCCAAAACAUGACGAUGUUGAAUGCUAACGCAAGAUGGCGAAGAACUAGACCAAAGGGCGGAUCGCUGAGUUGAUUGACGAUCCCGACUAACUUCGCCGAAUGUUCCUUCACAGCACAUUUUCUGAAAACUAUAAAUACUAGUUGAAGUUUUGUGGCUUAGUAUCAGAGUAGAAAUUAUUAUUAAGUUUUAGUUGUAUUAAGUUUAGAAUACAAUUUUGAGAGAAAAUAUUCUCUUUGAGCUUGGAGAGGAUUUUGAAGAACUUGAAGAUGCAAAGGGUUUCAACUCCAAGAUUUUGGACUUUGGUCAUGUGGAUUCUUCACUUUUGACUUGUUUUAAGACUUAACCUUGCAUACCCAAUGAUGGAAACUGAGAUUGGUAUACAUUUUUACCUCUUUUACACGUGUAGCUAAAACCCCAAUUCUUGGGUGUGAUUUUGUGAAUAUGGGGUUAGAUUAAUUGUUGGGUCUUGCUUGCUGAGAGUUUAUUUGUUGUUUAGAUGUGAUUUCGUUUAGUAGUUGUGUUGGAACUUAAUGAAAUUGUAGUUGCAAAUACGAUUUCACCUUUGUGUUUUCGACUUUGCGAGAGAGAGGUCGUAAAACUAAGACUACUAAAUUGAUGGCCUAUGGGGAGUGGGUCGACAUGAGGUUCAACUCGAGAGAGUGAACCCUAGACAUUCUCCCACACACUCAGCUCGAGAGAGUGAGUGGGCUAAGGCGGAGGUUGUUCUUCAUGCGGCAAGUGGGUGUCCAAGAGGAACCCAUUUGAUUCGGGGUAAGUUGCUCGAGAGAGAAUUUACCCCCACUAUAGUCUAGCCUAGUCACAAAUAUUCAAUGGAUUUACUAUCAAAAGCAUGUACCCAAUAGUCUAGUCUAACCCGUAUUCCUAUCACAUCCCAAGAAUCUCAUCUCCUCAUUCGUAUCUCUUUUUAUUUUUGUUGAUUUUGCUCUUUACUUGCUUACAAACCCCCCAUUGAUAAUUGACACUCAUGUCAAACACUUUAAUUUGUCAUGUCUUCAUUUUAUAAAGUCUUUUGCUACGGUUAGUUUUAGCACUUUCGCGCUUAACCACUAAUUUUCAAGAACCACUCCAUUGGGACUCGACCCCAACCCUUGGUUGGGUUACUAUACUAUUGUACAAUCGUAGACACUUGCAUAGGAAGUUGUGUCUUGAUUACGCAAGGAUCAACCAUGCUGCCCAGUAACUAGUAGAAUGGAUUGCACCACCUCUCUAGCCCUAUCUUCUUUUUUAGAAGCGAUACAUGGAACACUAGAUACACUUUUGUAUGGGCCAUAGUAUUUGGAGCUAAGCUUCAAAUUUCUUCGUAGAGCAAUGAAGGACUGUAUGUAAGGUUGAAGCUUGAGGUAUACCAUCUCACCAGGUUGUAACUCCCUUUCUGACCUAUGUAGAUCAGCAUAGUACUUCAUUUUUUCUUGAGCUUUCAAUAAAUUGUCCUUAAGAAUUUGUUGCAUAUGUUGCCUCUUCAUGAUCAAAUCUUUAGCAGGAAGCACAUAUGACAAAUCUUCAGCAAUGGGCAAGGGUUGCAGAUUGAGGUCCCAUGACUGAUCAUAAAUGGGCAAGGGUUGCAGCAAACUUGGAUAGGGAACAUUCUCAUCCUUGCUCCUAUGACAAACCUUACAUUCAGAUACAAAUUGCACCACUAUUUGUUUCAUUGAAGGCCAAUAGAAUAAUAGAGACAACCUUUUGAAAGUUCCAAGUUGGCAUGAGUGCCACCCUAAGUUAAAAGAAUGGAAGGUCUGGAUCAACUGAUGCCUAAGAGGUCCAUUGGAGCCCACAUAAAUCUCCCCCUUCCUUCUCAAUACUCCUGAGUAGAACUGCCACAAGUUAGGACCAUUAGUAUCUAUUAUCAACUGUGUAAUGAGCUCCACGGCCAUAGGAUCACCUUCAGAGCUGGUUGCAACCUCUUGGACCCAGAAUGGAACUACUACACUGAUAGCAUGGAACUGGCCUUUUUCACUGAAGUUGUUUUCCUCUUGUAGCUUAGAUAUUGUAUUAGCCUCCUCUGCUCCUUUCUCAUACUGCACCUCAUAACCUAACCCCAACAAUUUGGUCAGGCCUCUUUGUUGCACUGUUGUAGUAACCUUCUGUUCAAGCAAAUAUUUGAGGCUAUGGUGGUCAGUCUUGACCACAAAAUGCUUGUAUUUAAGGUAAUGUCUCCAUUUGUUUACCGCAUUCAAUAGAGCUAAAUAUUAUUUCUCGUGAAUAGAUUUAUCUCUAUGCUUCAUAGCCAAUACCUUACUAAAAUAGGCUAUUGCCCUUCCCCUUUGUAAUAGCACAGCUCUGAUUCCUGAAUGACAUACAUCAGGCUCUACUACAAAUUCUUCAUCAUAACUUGGCAAGACAAGCACUGGUGUGGUAUACAUGGCCCUCUUAGGUGCCGCAAAAGAUUGAUCAGCUUCCUCAGUCCACACAAAAGCAUCAUUCUUCAACAAGUCGGAUAGUGGUUUGCUUAUGCUUCCAUAAUUAGCUACAUACUUUCUAUAAUAUCCUGUUAAGCCCAAAAAUCCCCUAAAAGCUUUCACAGUUCUAGGGGUAGGCCAUUCCUCCAUAGCUUUCACCUUAGCAGGAUCAGUUGACACCCCUUCCGCAUUAAUAGCAUGUCCUAAGUACUCUACUUUAGAUUGAUCAAAAGAGCACUUGGACCUUUUUUCAUACAAUGAAUGGAAUAAUAAGGUGUUGAACACCAAUAGUAAAUGCUCUACAUGCUCAGACAACGAUUUACUAUAGAUGAGGAUAUCAUCAAAAAACACCAAAUCAAACUUCCUGAGGUACAAUUAAAAGACACGAUUCAUUAGGGCCUGAAAGGUAGCGGGGGGAAUUGGUAAGCCCAAAAGGAAUAAACUUAAACUCAUAAUGCCGUAUGUGAGUUCUGAAUGUCGUUUUGUACACAUCUUCAGCUUUCAUUAUGAUUUGAUGAUAACCCGCCCUGAGAUCAAUUUUGGAAAAGACCACUACUCCAUGUAGCUCAUCCAAAAGGUCAUCACGAUGGGAAUUAGGUACUUAUCCUUCAUUGUGAUCUCAUUCAACCCUUUUUAGUCCACACAAAACCACCAUGUGCCAUCCUUUUUCUCAACCAAUAGAGUUGGUGAGGAAAAGGGAGAUUGGCUAUGACUAAUAAUCCCAUUAGUAAGCAUCUCUGAAACUUGCUUUUCUAAUUCCUCCUUUUGGUAGUGAUUGUAUCUAUAAGGUCUUAGAAUAACUGGUGAGGCUCUAGGCUUUAAGUUAAUAGCAUGGUCCAGUUGUCUCACUGGUGGUAAAGACUUUGGCUCAACAAAUAUAGACUGGUACUUGUCCAGCACUUCUUGUAUAGUGGCAUCCACAUGCUCCUGCUCAUUGUAAGACUCUACUCCCAGCAUGAAUAAAUGAGCCAUCAGUGUUUGACCCUUCUUGAUAAGCCUUCCCAUGGCACUACCACUGAUCAUACUCAAACUAUACUCAAACCUUCUUAAUGAUUCUCAGAUCCUCCUUGAAGGCUUUUCCUUCCAUUUUCCAACUAAAACCAGGGGAACUAGUAUGACACAUCACAUAAUUUCCAUCAGCAACAGUGACCUUCAUAGGAGGGCUAUACUCAGCCACAUAACCAGUGUCACCAACAGCUUGUUCAUCUAUGAAGCUGUGAGUACUACAAGAAUCGAUCAACACUGCUAGUGUUCUAUUCCUAACAGAUCAUUUAACUAAUAUAGCAUUUAAUCCUAGGCUACUACCAGAUAAUGCACUCAAACAUAUGGCUUCCAUAACCUCCUGUUGUAUCUCUCCUUCAAUGAUAAGAUAUGAUGGUUCAUGUACCUCUAUUUCAUCAUGCAGUAUGCCCUCUUCUUCACCCCUAAUGCAAUUCAACUGCUUAACCUUACAGUUGUGUCUUGGGUAGUACUUCUCUCCGCACCUGAAACAUAACUUGUUGCUAUUACUAUAUUCAUACACUUCUAGGGUUAACCUAAACGUGUUUGGUCGAGGGUUUUUCACAGUUCACUGGUAACAGUAGGAAUUGGAUUACUUCCCAUAGUAUUCUUUAUGGAGCUAGACCCUCCCACCUGAUAGGAAGUUUUAGCCAUCAUCAUGUUCUUCUUUUGAGCAGCUUCUAUUGCUUUCUCAUGUAGCUUAGCCUGCUUUAUAGUUGCUCUUAAUGUUACCGAUUUAAACAUUUUAACCCCAAACUUAAUUUUCUUCCUUCAAAGCCCCAAUAAAACUUGACAGGAAAUGAGCCUCAUUCAAGGCUGGAUUCCUUAUUAUCAUCUGGGCUUUUAAGUCUUCAGACUUUCCAAGGAAUUCAUCUAGAGUUCCUAUUUGAGAUAGCUUAUUAAAUUCCUUGACUGUAUUUUCAACGACUGUUUCCCCAAAUCUCACACAGAGCUCCUCCUUAAAUUCAACCCAAGUAACUACUCUUCUAUCCAAAACUAGUGAAUUAUAUCAUGUCUCAGCAAGUCCAGUCAAAUAGAGUGCAGCUCCCUCUAUCUUUUGAUUAUCAGCAAUUCUAUAUAAGUUAAAGUACUUUUCACACUUACGCAACCAUACCUUAGGUUUGUUCCCUUCGAAGCUUGGUAGUUCCCAUUUAGGAGGUGGAAUUGGAAAUCUAGCCCUAGCUUUAUGUAUGGGAUUUGGUAGCAACCCAUAACUAACUGGAAAAGCACCUUCAGGAGCUCUGACUGGUGCUCUUUCUAGAGUUGUCAAACGAUCCAAAAUAAGCUCCAAGGUUCCUCUGAUUCCAGUUUGAGUUUCGUUGAGUUCUCUGCAAUUCAUACUGAGAUCUCCCAAAAUUUCAUCAUGACGCAGCAACUUAUCAUCUAGCAGCUUCAUUCUGGUCCCUUCGCCAUUUUCACCUUCACAAAUUGAGCGUAACCUUGCUCUGAUACCAAUUGUCAAAACCUAACCUCAAUUCAACAAUUAUCGAACAAAACUUUAAUAAAACAAUAGAAGUUUUUGGGAUAAUUUUCUAUUAAUCAACUGAACUGAAGGAAUUACAACUUAAAAGAAUGGAAAAUGAAUCUAAAGUUGGAAGUUUCCAUAGAUGAGUUCUUAAUCUGCAGAAGAAGAAUGAGUGGGAUUAGGAAGGAAGAAGAAGAAAGGAGAGAUCUGAGAGAAGAGAUAAAAAGUGAGAAAGAUACCAAUUAUCCGUUAAUCCCGCAAAGUUGGUUAAAUCAACGUGACUUGUGUUGGUUUGCACUGAUGAUGUGGAUGCAUCUCCACCCUCUAAUCUCAUUAAUCUACAUCUAAUUUGGGUCGUUACUUCUACCCGGUAGUUAUAACUACUUAUUGGAAGCCAAGGUCAUGACACAAAUAUACUUGGGGAAUUUUGGGUUAUAGUUUGGGUGUGAGGCAUUUUGUUUGUGGAGCUUCAUCAGAGAAGAUGAGUCGAGGCAGUGCGGUGAAGUUCUGACGUGGAUCUGGUUCGUGGAGUGUUUAGUUGUUGUUGUUUGGUGGACAGUGAAGAAAGUAAAAAUAGGGUUUAUUUGGGUUUGGGUCAUUUGGGGGUUUUUUUUUUGGGUAUUCGGGUUGAUUUUCCGGUGAAUUUUUAAUUGUGGAUAAAAAUUGAAUAAAUUUUAAAUAGGCCGUUAAGUUCAUGACACGUGUCUUUCAUUAUUUCAAAGGAUAUAUACAUUCAAAUACAUAGACGAUAAGUUAUCAGCAUCCUAAAAAUAUAACAAAGAGUAUUUAGAGACCAUUUAUGAUAGUUUAGGGAUAUAUUUAUCCUUUUUCCGUAAAAACUAUAUAAAAAGUACUAUAAAUUACAAUAAUCUAUGACAAUUCAAAAUAUUUAAAAAAAUUCUGAUCAAAUAAAAUAUUUUUUAAUCAUCCAAAUAGUCUAAUAUAAACACAUUGGAAUAAAAAAUAAUUUAAAUCAUAUGAUCAAAUAAAAUAUCUUUUCACCAUCCCAACAAUCUAACAAAUAAUUGAAAUGGAGGGGAUCCGGUUUAACCCUCUUGUGACCAGAGCCACUGUAUGACAUCAGUGUUGAUUAGAUGGUAAAGCCAGUAAGGCCAACUCUUUAAGGUAUCAAAAAUUUUAAAGGCCCCAAAAGUUAUAUAUAUUCCAACUCUCUUUUAAUUUAAGCAAAUUUUUUAGUUCAUAGAAAAGAAAUGUUUUUUAUAUUCAGUAAAUUUUUAGUUUUAAUAUUCUAUGUGGCACGCUUGAAAGUACAAUAAUUAAAAAUAUUUUGGCAUAUUAGAGAAAAAACAUAUUAGAAUAAAUUUAUAAGAAAAAAAUUAUCUCAGCAACUCAUAUUAGUAGAGGCAUUUUAGACAGUCAAUUCAGAUUUCAGUUACAUGUACCUAGAUUAUUGUUGUAUGUUGAUGAGUUAGACUAUUUUAGUUUACUUCUGCAUUCAGUAUUUUCUCAUCUCAUUAUGUUAAUCUUAGUGUUAUGUCAUUCCAUGAGGUUAGUUUGGGGUCAUUUGUGGCUCUAAGCAUUAUGUCACUCUAGGGAGAAGGAUCGGAGCGUGACAUUUUUCGUCUACUCUAAGCUGUAAGAAUCUCUCAUUGGAUCAACUUCACUUUAUCUAAGAAAUCUCUCAAAAAAUUUGUGCCUCAAGGCCUAACCUCAAAAAUCAUACCAAUUGAUUCUAGAAAAUCCCCAUUUACAUGGAAACUUUCCUGCAGGUUAUAAUAAAAAAUCCACAACAAAUACAAUUUCCUGCGAUUUUUCUUGCCAAUGAAAAUCAGUAGGAAAUAACCUCGUGGGUAAUUUUUACCUGCGAAAUUAUCAAUCCGCAGGUAUUUCUACGGGUCGUAGACCAGUCUCAUAGAAAGGGGAAUAUAAAUCUUUGAAACCAAGCCCCAUCACCUCUUUUACGGUCCUCUAGUACGAUCCGUCAAGUGAUCUACGAGUCGUAGAUAGGUCUUGUAGGUAGGUCCAUGACUUCGUGAAAUUUUAAGGCCAAAAUUUUAGUUAUACAGUUAAGGUCUAUGGACCAUAGGAAGUACUAUCAACCAUAGAAGGGCCCCGACAAAAGUUAAGUGAUAUUAUGGUAUGAAUACUUGGUCUACAGUUGACCAGUACAGUUCGUAGGUUGAGCCUGGUAGUUAUUUUAAGGGGAUUUUGAGUUUUUUCUCUAAUUGUCUUAAAUCAAAAUUAAGUCAUUUUGUCCUUCAUCCUAAGACCUAUAUAAGUCUUUUAAGUCCUAAAUUACCCACUCAAUCCUCAUUCUCCUAAAUCCCAAAAACCUAACUAAAUUCAUCCUCUCAAAAUUCUCUCGAAGACCAAGAAAGAAGAAAAAAUUAGGGUUAAUUUAAGUUCAUCAAUCCUCCAUUAUUUUUGGGCUUUAAGUAGCAAGGUAUAUGGGUAUUCACCCAUGGAGUCCAUUCCUCCAUGGGGUCCCCAAAGUUUUCAAUUUCUCAAUCUCAAUUUCAAUUGUGUAAGUUAGGGUUCCAAUUCAAUCUUUAUGGGUUUCAUUCAAUUGUAAUUGAUUAUUGUUAAUAAAAUCUUAUAAUGCAUGAUUCAAUGUUAGUAUAUGAAAUUUUGUUGAAAUUAUGUUGACCUAUUCCUGAUUUAUGAUUGUCAACUAUGAACCUACGAUGAACUUAUGAACCAGUGAACUAUGAGUUUUGAAGAAUUACGCAUGUUUUGUAAAAAUGAUAUUUAUGAUGAUAGAGUGCUUUUAGAUGAAAGUACCAAUGUUGUUGUGAAAGGUUUUCGCACAUACGAAUAUAAUCAUGACUUGUGAAAGGUAAUUCUCACAUUUGGGUUCACAUUGGUGAAAGGGUUUCUCAUCCAUGUUGAAUUAUGUUUAAGGAGCUAUUCUAUAUUUUGGUCUUUAAGAUGUGAAUUUGUAUUGAUCAUUGUCUUUCCUAUGUUAUAUUUAUUUUUGACUUUUAUUUAUUCAGUUGGGAUUUAGACUUAGCACCGAAAGGAUUUGGAGGUGGAGGCUUAAGUAGGGUAGUCUCUAGUAGCAACCUCUAGUCCCUAACUACGUGCUCCUAUAGGAUUGUCUUAAAUGACCUAGCUAGUGGAUCCACUUUAGCAAAAGAUGAUAUGUAUGGAUUCUACCUUGGCAAGUAGAUUCUCCUUCUUUCAGUACGAGGGAUAUACCGAAUUCUAUGACAUAGCUCUCAUGGUCUCAUUGUUGGUUAAAACUAUAUCCCACAAAAUGACUAGGUUUUUUCGGAGCUUUUCCUCUGUGUCUUAUUUUAUUAUCUUGACCAUAUUCUAUGAUUUACAUGUUAUUGCUUCUUUCAGUCUUUUAAUGUUCAAAGAAUGAUCAUGCCUACAUGUUUUAAGUCAUUCAUGCUAUCAUGCCUAUUUUAUGCAUAUUUCCUUAUACUUAGUACAUUCCAUGUACUAAUGCAUACUUGUGCCAAAAUUGUUUCACUAAUGUAGGGUUCGGCGCUCCUACCUCUCUUACUUGUGGCUAGAUGGCUCCCUUGACUUUGAUGAUUGGUGAGUCCUCAUGUUCUGAGGACCGAGAUACUUUUAUAGCUUUAAGUUAUUUCGGUUUUCAUACUUUGUAUGUGAUGUACGGGUUACAUCCCAAUCACUUUCCUUAUGACGUAUUAGAUGACUUAUUUAGACUUACGUUAGAUUUUUGCUUUUUCAAUUUCUUAAGAAAUAUGAAACGCUAUCUUUUAAUUUCUUUAUUUCUACUAUCUUGUAUGAUAUAUGCUAAGUGGCUUGUGUAGGGCCUUUUGGGAUUCUAUACGCCAUGCUACACCGAGGGUAAACUUUGGUUCCUAACAAACUUGGUAUUAGAUCACAGGAUUUAGAAAGGUCCUAGGAUGUCUCAUAAGCCACAUCGAGUAGAGUCUUGUUCAUGAGUGUGAAGCUCACCACAUUUAUGAAUAAGAGGUUAUGAGAUGUUAAGGAAACUUGACUUCUUUCACCAUUCUAAAGUUGUGCGAUAGAGUAUAACUAUAUAUGUCUCUCUCCUAAUCAUUAUCCUAUGUUUUUAAGGAUAUGGCCCCUUGAAUAGUAUACGUUAGAAGGAAUGUGGGUGGAAAUGUGGAACAGGAAGCUCCUGAAGAAGCUCCACAAGUUUUGGCUGACCCUUUGGCCGAACAACUGACUAAUGCAGAGUUUCGAGCUGCUUUUCAAGUGUUGGCUCAAUCCAUGAUGGCUCAAGCCAAUAGGGAGUUUAUGGUCCCCGUGAACCCAAAUAUGGGUACAAUGGCAACUAGAGUGAGAGAAUUCACUAGGAUGAAUCCCUCAGAGUUUCAUAGUUCCAAUGUUGAGGAAGAUCCUCAAGAGUUCAUUGAUGAAGUGUAUAAGGUUUUGAUAUGGGAUUGACGCCCGUGUAAAAGGUGAAAUUGACCGCUUAUCAACUUAAAGAUGUUUCUAAAGGUUGGUUCAACCAAUGGAAGGAAGAGAGAGUGGUUGAUGUGGGUCCUCUUGAUAGGGAAAAGAUUAAGGUUGCUUUUCUUAAUAGGUUCUUUAUCAUUGAGAUAAGGGAGGCAAAGGUACUUUAAUUCACUAACCUUCAUCCAGGAAAUAUGAGUGUGAAUGAGCAUGUCUUUAAGUUCACACAAUUAUCUAGAUAAGCUUGGCAAAGAUAAGCAAGUUUGUUUCGGGAGUGUUUGAAAUUGUGGUUAAGGAAUGUCGUAUCGCUAUGCUUAUUAAGGAUAUUGACAUUUCUCGUCUAAUGAUUCAUGCUCAACAAAUUGAAGAGGAGAAACUUAAGAAAAUACCUAGGGAGGCAAAGAGGGUAAAGACCGAUGAUGGUGACUUUUCACAUUCAAUGUCUGAUGGACAUGGUCGUUCUAAGUUCCAACAAAGGCUAUCCGAUCAAGGUUCCUCCAAUACUCUUGAUCCUAAGUUCAACAAACAAAGGGUUUCUAACCCUAAGCCUAAAGGAGGAAAUGGUGGUGGAAAUCAAUCUUCGGUUCCCGCAUGCCAAAAGUGUGGCAACAGUCAUCGUGGAAAAUGUUCGAUGGGCAUAUUUAGUUGUUUUGGUUGUGGCAAGAGUGGUCAGUGCUUGAGAGAAUGUCAGCCUAGACUUGACAAGGGAAAGGAUGGUAGCCAAGCUCCACCUAGUGGUUCGGAUUCAAGUGCUCCUAAGCAAAACUAAUUUUAUGCACUUCAAACUCAUCAUGAGCAAAAGGGUUCUCCCAAUGUUGUUACCAGUAUAUUGAAAGUUUUUCAUCAGAUGUUUAUGCUUUGCUAGAUCCCGGUGCUAUCUUGUCUAUUGUGACGCCCUAUGCGGCUAUAAGGUUUGAUAUUUCUCUGGAUGUGUUGUUAGAGCUUUUUUCUUUCUCUACUCCUAUUGGUGAAUCUAUUGUGGCUAAGAGAGUCGAUAGAAGUUGACCCGUCUCCUUAUCCCAUAAAGUCACUCAUGUUGAUCUUGUAGAGCUUGAUAUAUUAGAUUUUGAUGUUAUUCUUAAUAUGGAUUGUCUCCAUUCUUUUUAUGCUUUUGUUGAUUGUAGAACCCAAGUGGUCAAGUUUUAGUUUCCAAAUGAGCCCGUCCUAGAGUGGAAAAGAGGAAAUUCUAUGCCAAAGGGUCGGUUUGUUUCUUGUCUUAAAGCCAGAAAAAUGAUUUCUAAGGGUUGCAUGUAUCACCUCAUUUGUGUUAGGGAUAGAGAUUCUCAAAAUGCUACUCUAGAGUCUGUCCCCGUUGUGAAUGAAUUUCUGAAAGUGUUUCUCUAUGAUUUGCCCGAUGUUCCUCCCAAAAGGGAAAUAUACUUUGGUAUUGACCUUCUUCCAGAUACGCAACCUAUCUCUAUUCCUCCAUACCGUAUGGCUUCAUCGGAACUUAAGGAAUUAAAGGAGAAAUUGAAAGAUUUAUUGGAUAAGGAUUUCAUCCGAUCGAGUUUCUCUCCAUGGGGUGCUUCAGUUUUGUUUGUUCAUAAAAAUAAUGGUUCACUUCGCAUGUGUAUUGACUAUCGACAAUUGAACAAGGUCACCAUUAAGAAUAAGUAUCCUAUUCCAAGGAUAGAUGAUUUGUUUUAUUAUCCAAGGAGUGAGUUACUUCUCUAAGAUUGACCUCCGAUUGGGUUACCACCAAUUGAGGGUGAAGGAAGAUGACAUUCCAAAUAUGGUUUUUCGAACAUGGUAUGGUCAUUAUGAGAUAUUGAUAAUGUCAUUUGGUUUGACUAAUGCUCCGUCAACAUUUAUGGACUUGAUGAAUAAAGUAUUUAGGCAAUAUCUAGACAUAUUUGUGAUUGUGUUUAUUGCUGACAUCUUGAUUUGCUCAAAGAGUAAGGAUGAGCAUGUCGAUCAUUUGAGGAUUGUGUUACAACUCCUCAAGGACCAAAACCUCUUUGCAAAGUUUAGUAAGUGUGAGUUUUUGUUGAGAUUCAUGGGCUUUAUUGGUCAUAUUGUUUUUUAUAAGGAUAUUGUGAUGGAUCCUAAGAAGACAGAUGCGGUUAAGAGUUGGCGUAGACCUCUAUCCCCUUCGGAUAUUAGAAGCUUUUUGGAUCUGGUUGGUUAUUAUAGAAGGUUUGUGAAAGGACAUUCUUUAAUUGCCUCUCCAUUAACGGCAUUGACCUAAAAGAAAGUUAAGUUCUUAUGGUCGGAAGCGUAUGAGAAGAGUUUCCAAGAAUUGAAAGAUAGACUUACCUCCGCUCCCGUGUUGACUUUAAUUACCAAAAGGAUCCAAUGAGUUUGUUGUUUAAUAUGAUUCUUCAAGGAUAGGAUUAGGGUGUGUUCUUAUGCAAAAUGAGAAGGUCAUUUCUUAUGCUUCAAGGCAACUUAAAAUUAAUGAAAAGAAUUAUCCUACCCAUGAUUUGGAACUAAUGGCGGUCGUGUUUGCCUUAAAGAUCUGGAGGCAGUACUUAUAUGGUGUCUUUGUUGAUGUCUUUACCGACCACAAGAGUUUACGAUAUUUGUUCAAGCAAAAGGGUCUAAAUAUUCGGCAAAGGAGGUGACUUGAAUUGCUAAAAGAUUACGACAAGAGUGUCAUCUACCACCCCGGCAAGGCGAAUGUGGUGGCGGAUACUCUUAGUCGGCUAUAAAUAGGUAGUGUUGCUCAUGUUGAGGAUGAUAAGAAGGAGUUGGUUCGUUAUGUUCAUAGAUUGACCCGAUUGGGUAUUAGGUUGGUUGAUUCUAAUGAAGGUGUUGUUAUGGUUUAUAAUGGUUUUGAAUCGUCUUUUGUGUCGGGUGUGAAAGCCAAGCAAGGUCUUGAUCCGAUUUUGGUUGAGUCCUUCUUGCAUUCAGAGGACUUCAGUUAUGAUUUAGCAUAUUUUAUUCACUUCAGUUGUGUUAGCUUUCAGGUAGAUAGGGGUGUUUUCCCGGUAGAUUUAUCUAUCUCAAUUAUUUAGAGCCUUAAUUCGACACAGUUAUGAGUCAUAGACAUUGAUAGUCUCAGUUCUAUUUCAAGCUUUUUCUCAUAUGUUUUAAUGUUCUUCAUUUAUAAAAGAUCAGUUCAUUAUUCAAUAGCUUAGCACAUUACUAUAAAUCUCAGCUCCUGCAUUAGUCAAUGUUUAAUAUUAUAGCAUGAUAGGCCAAGGGUUCGUUUGGACCAGAAAUGAUUUCAAGUGUCAGUCAUGUCCAGGAUGUAGACUUGAACGUGACAAUUAUAGUUGUGGAUAAAUUAGCUAGGCUACCCUACUCUGGCUAUCAAAAAUACACUUUUCCAAAAAAAAAAAAAAAGGCUUGUAGGAUCAUCUUAGACCAGGAAGAGUUGAGCUCAACAUCAUCCCUAAUGAAGUAGAGAGAAGCAUCCCUUUUUGGUUUCACUUAGAUCUGAACAAAAAAUGUAGUAAGUUCUAAUAUAUGAAACUUAUGAACCCCAAAAAUUGAAAGAGAGAGCAAGAUGUACCAAGAAAGAAAUUGAAUUCAGACGAAAACAUUCUCUUUCUUCGAUUCCUUGGGAUGAGAAACCUCAACCACCUGAAACCUAACAAUGGAGAAGUGAGAAGAACUUUGAAAGAGAAGGGAUAUAAACCUAUUUACUAUGAAGUAGAUAAGCAUAUGUCACCAUGGAUUCGAUGAGGCUCCAACUUAAAGAUCACCCAAGGAGAAGGAUUGCUAGGCGGCGAUUUCAGUUACAAACCUCCGACAACAUGUUCAGGCAUUGGCGAGGACUAAGGUGAAGAUUGUCGGACCUCGGAUAUACGAUGACACAUAAAAAAGAGUUCUAAUUUUUUCUUGGUUGGGUCUAAUUUUUUGGACCUGGCCUUUAUCUGCUUGUCUUUCUUUUUUUAAUCUUCAGUCUUGGGCCAUUGACCCUAGGGCUUCUUAUUGGAAAAAUCAUACGUAUAAUUAUACUUAACAAUUUGGCUUAUUGGAUAUCGUAUUUUAAAGGGAAAAGGGUUCGAAAUAUAUCCGAACUUUGACCGAAAUUGUUGUAACUAUCCCAAAAUUUGGGCAGGACCUAUUACCCCCCCUACAUUAUUUAAUAGUGUAUUUUAAAGAUAUAUAGGCGCCCACAUGGACAUCAUAAAUAUUGCAUCAUUAUAAAUAGUAAUUUGUCUAGCUGGGCACUUAUAUAUCUUUGAAAUACACUAUUAAAUAGUGCAGGGGUAAUAGAUCAUGCCCAAAGUUUGGGAUUGUUACAGCAAUUUCGGUCAAAACUCGGAUAUAUUUCAGACUUUUUUCCCUUUAUAUGCUAAUCCGCAAGCCCAACCAAUAACCUAUUAGUUGGUUUGAUAUUGAUUAGUAAUUAACUGACAGUGUAUUGACUCCAUCAUUUCAUGCUCCCUUAUUUCACUUUCUCUCACCAAUAUAUUAAUCUCCCAUCAAACAAAAUAAUUUUUCUAGCCCUACUUAUGCUAAUAAUACUGUAAAUGCAAAUCGCAGUGAGACACAUAUGAAAGUCUAAAUUUUGAGGGUGCAUGCACAUAAACAUUUAAUUAACAUAUAUACUUACGAUAAAAAUGUAACUAUGAUAACUCUUAGCGCAUUAACGAUUUACCCAAUACAAAAAUUGAGCGAUCUGUCCCGCAUCAUAAACUAUUAACUAUAAAAUUUUAAUCAGUUCACUAAUCAUUAAUUCGAUAAUCCAAUAUCAAUAAGAUAAUUUUGUGAUUGGUUUAUCGAUUACGGUUCAAUUUUAAACCAUUGGACUUCUUUAGUUAUAUUGAUUUACUAAUGAUUAUAAAAAGGGUCCCUGGACCGCAAUUUAAUUAAAAAAAUUAGAAGAGAUUGUUGAAUUUCUUUAACAUAAGACAAUCUUCUAGAUAUAAUAUUCUUGCAUUUGUUUUUAUACCCUCAUUAUUAAGAUUCCUUAUUCGUCUACUACUCUGAAAAGUAGGUGUUUCAAUAUUCUAUAUAACUUAUUUUUAUUGUGUUUAGCAAGUUUUGGUGUUAAUAAUACUACUUUCUAUUGUGCUUGAGGUUAACUCACUUGAAACCACUCUUUGUUGUAGGCAGUAAAUUAAAUUCCAUCAUAUACAUGCUCACUCUUUUAAAAUUGAAAAUAUAUUUAAAUAUACUUAAACGUGAGUAAAAUAACAUUAUACUUUAUCAAAUAAAUCGUUAAAUCUCUCUAUAACUGUUUUUCUAUAUAAUAAUAUUUUAUAAUAUAACAUUCAAGUUUUCUUUUCGAAAUCUUUUUUCAUUGUUGUUAUCAGGGGAGGACCCACGUGGUAUCCAGGGGUUCACCCGAACCCCUUCGGCAAAAAAUUACACAAUAUAUAUAAGGUAAAUUUUAUGUAUUGUUAUGGAUAUAUAUAUUUUGAACCCCCUCAAUAACAAAGAGAAACCGAUGGUGCAGUGGCAAGUAUCCCAAAAAUUAUGUUGUACGUCACCGGUUCGAAUCCCAGUGAAAGCGUUUCAUUUUUAUCUUAUUCAGUUUUAGUUUUUUUUUAAAAAAAUUUAGUUCUGUUUUUCAAGUUUUUUUUAGUUUUUUUUUUUACUUUAAAAAAUGUGCUAAAAGUUUGGUUUUAAACCCAAAAGAAUUCAAGGUUUCCAUUUCUAAAGGCUUAUUUACACGUUUAUACUUUUAUUUUUCGAACCCCCUAAACAAAAAUUAUGAGUCCACCACUGGUUGUUAUAUAUGAUCUAUAGAACAACAUGUCGUUAUAAUAGCUAUAACAUGUCGUUGUACCAGAUAAAUAACGUCGUUAUAAAGUCAUUUGAUUUGUAUAAUAAAUGUAGAUUGAGUUGUAUUAAAUAGGAAUACAUGGAUCAUUGGAACAUAGGAUUCCAUGGAUUAUGGAAUGUUAUUGCACACAUUCUUAUUAUAUUAUUCCAUUUGUAAAAACAAAUACUUAAGUCCUAAUGCCAAGGUUUAUCCAGCACAAAUAACCCCAACAAAAACACUUAUAAAAAAAAUUGUGUCGGAGAAUCAAAUUCUUUUAAUGGCUUCAAUUUCAAGUUUAAAGGCAUAGCUCCAUUUGGAAUUAGGUUAAUUUACCUACAUCAUAUAUUUAUGUCAAAUUAUAUUAAGUAAUUGUCAUGAUCAAGUGAUUAAAUUAACCAAAAAUAAGUGAUAGACAUUUUGUGCAAAUACAUAUUAUAUAUGCAUUUAUUAAUUUGAUGUAAAAUCAGUGUAGGAGAGUCAUUCUAUGUUCAAGAGCGAAUCUAAUGUGUAAAAGAUGGUUUAAUCCAAAUUACUAGCAUAUUAUUUUGGCUCACAUUUUGUAUUUAUAUAUUUAAAAUUAAUUAUAAAAUAUAAAUAAUAUAUUUUGAACUUGAUAUAAUUUUAGUGACUGUGAUAGAAUAUCAUAUAUCAUACUCUAACAUAAAAAUUCAAAUUUUGAAUUUGCUUUUAUUAUAUAUGCUAGCAAAUUAUCAUAUACUAAGAAAUCUUAAUUCUCUUUUGGUGAUUCGUACAUGACAACUUUUAGCACUAUCUAACAACUAAUUAAAUAAAAUUCGAGGGUUUUAAAAGUAAGAAUAAGCGAACAUGUGAUAUAAAGGUGGUCUUUAGACCCAAGAUUCUAUGCCUUUUGAACCAAUUAUUAUCUAUUCAAUAGUGAGGAAUAAAAUUAUGGAACUUUUAUGUCUAAUCACCCUCUUUAACAAGAAUUUUGACCUAAUUUAUGAAAAUAAUUAUUAAAAAAUAUAAAUAAUUGAUUUUGGAUAACAUAAUCAAAUAAGUAUAAUCUCAUAAAUAAAUGUACAAAAUUUAAAUUUUGAAUACACCUCAGCUCUUCCUCUCGUAGUCACUUGCAAUGCGCCCUUUUCUAUUUUGUUUUUUUUAUUUUAACUAAUCUUGAACACAAAUGAGCAGCACGAAUGAACUUAUAUAUAGUACCUGUUUUGUUUUAGUAUCUUAUCUCUACUUCUUGAGUAUAACACUAUGCCUAUUAAUAUACUUUUGGUAUAAUAUAUAAAAUAUAAAUAUAUCCUUUAAUUGGGUAUUAGAUCACAUAUGUGUUCUGCAAUUUCGUGUAUGUAUAAGUAGACACUUAAAUUUGUAGAAAGUUGAACAAGUAAACACAUGAGUCUUACGUGACAUAUUAGACGAAGGAUGCCAAAUAGGAUGCUUCAUAAAAUGUGAAUUGUCACAUAGGACGUCAAGUAGGACAUGCGUGUCUAUUUGUUCAACUCCAUAAAAAUUUAAGUGUCUACUUAUAUAUACCCAAAAUUGGAAGGCGUAGAUGUCAGAUGAGACCACAUUUACGGCCCCAUGUAUAUGUACUAUACAAAGGUUGAUAUUUAAAGUGGCAUGAGUAGAGAGAAGCUAACUUAUUUAAGCUGAAAUUGGAAAAGUCACAAGCACAAAUAGGCCCGGUCAAAGGUUGAACAUCAGUAGGAUUCAAUAGGGUGUGUAUGGAAAAUAUUUUCCAUUUUUUUCAUAUUUCGUUGGCUUAAAUGCUUUGGAAAAUGUUUUUCAUAUCAACUCAUUUUUGACAAAUUUAAGGAAAAUGACUUCCCUUAAAAUAUAUAUAGAGUGUAUGGAAAAUAUUUUCCAUUUUUUUCAUGUUUCGUUGGCUUAAAUGCUUUGGAAAAUGUUUUUCAUAUCAACUCAUUUUUGUCAAAUUUAAGGAAAAUGACUUCCCUUAAAAUAUUAAUGAAAAUAUUUUCCAAAACUCUACUUCAUCCUUCAAUAUUUUUUACCCUACUCCGUAUGUCGUACGCAAUCCUUGUCAUCCCAAAAAUAAAUAAAUUUUAAAAUUUUCUUAUUUUUUAAAUUUCAAAUAUAUUUUUACCCCUACUCCCAAACUAACCCCCAGCCACCCCCACCAAGCCCACAUGUCACCCCCCACCCAGGCUAAUCAGUCAAAAAAAAAUUAAAAAAUAUUUCAAGUUUUAAAAAAAUUCAUUUUUAUUCAUUUUUUAUGCCACCCGUACCCCCACCCCAUCCUUCCAGUCGCCACCCCGUCAAAAUGAUUUUGUUUUUGAAAAAUAUUUUUCUGGGUCAGAUCUCAGGGUCGGAUUUUGAAACGAUCAUCGGGGUCUUGUUCUAGUUCGGAUGUCAGGGUUAGGUCCUAGAUCAAUUAUCGGGGUUGAUUUUCGGAUCAGAAAUUAUUUUCCUAAAGAGUAUUUUCUAGUCUCACGCUGGAAAAAAAAAAUUCAUACACCAACCAGACAUUAAAAAAUAUUUUCUACUUACGAAACAUGAGAAAAUAAGUUAGAAAUCUACUUGUUUUCCAAGAAAACAUUUUUCUUCCUACCAAACACACCCAUAGUCUUAAUCUAGCAAUGUGGUUCAGAACAUGCCAUUGUUGAUCGAUGAAAUUUUUGUUUUAAUUACGAGAAGUGAUUUCAAGGCAUCAACCCUUCCACUACGGUCGAUAUAUGAUAACAACUUCCAAACCCUAUAAGGAAUACUUUAAACAAUAGACCUAUUUUUACAUCCAUCAAAUUACACUACUUGCUUGACCUAUUCUAUAUAAACCAUAUAGCUGAAGCUAAUGUAAGUCAUAGCUAUUGAUAUUGACAUAUUUGAGUAUUUUGUAAUAGAUAGUAAUAUCACAAAAUGAUUAAGCUAUAACAAUUACCAAACACUGGAUGUGGUUAUUAGUAAUAUUAAAGUUCGUUUAGAAACUAUUUUCAAAAAACAAUUACCAAACGCAUUCAAGAGUUCGUUUGGCCAUUCUAUUUAUUGAUUUCAUACUCACGUUCUUACCUAACACGUCGAGCAAGAAUGAACGACCUGAAAUUUAAACACCAUUACAAACCCCGUAACUUUGGCUUAGACCAUGUAUGUGUUUAAGAAAUUACUAACCGUGCAAACAAUAGGUUUCAAAUCAAGUAAAUUAGACGGGAUGUGGUAGAAUUUUGAGUCCAAAUCCAUAUAGAGUUCAAAUCCUAGAUUCACCUCUGACCAAAGGCACAUAGGUAGGGGGCCAUUAUCCAAACACAACCAUUGUAUUACUACUACAACAAGAGUAAUAUAUUAAGCAUGUUUCUUAGGAAUAUUCAAGCUAUCAAUAAAUAGAUUUCAGUUACUUCCACUUCCAGAUAGUGUACAUAUUUUCUUAUAAACUGAUUUUACUACAAGCUCACUAAACCUAAUUGUGACUAUAUUCCAAAAAAUCACAAGGGCGAGUAAGGUGUGUGAAAGAAUAAAACUAGAUGACAAGAUAUUACACAUCUAAUUCUACUAUAAGCUAAAUUGUCUUGGGUCAAAAAAGUACAUUAAUAUUCAGGGAGGAAAAUUUGUACUAUCUGGAAGUUAGUUUUCUCGAGGUAGCUUUGACUGUGGUUUCAUACUUGCUCUCCGAGCUACAUCCCAUGCCUUUUGGGGGAUCGAGACACCAGCCUGAGAUGCAAAAAAUGACUCGUACCCAGGUGAAUCAAAGGCAAAACCAGUAUGUUUUGAUUUCUGUCCGGGAAGUUGUCUAAUUGCGUAACUCCUUGCUUCUUCAGGUGUAAGAUCAUUUCCAAUCUCUAGUAACCCCAUCCUACUAUCAAUUUCAUGCCUAUGAAUUUCCUGAACGAUCUGAUAAUCAUAAGGGAAAAACCAUCUUUGAACCCUGGAAAAAGCAACUAGUAAUGUUAGGCAAAAGCAAGACU